GAGGACCUGUCGAAACACAGCAAGAAGACAAAGUCAGCCUCAGAACACCGAUGCCAAUGCAGAGAGAGUAGUGAAGGUAGUAUUAAACUAUAUUCGGUAUAUUUUAAAGAUCAACGCGUGAAACUAUACAUGGAGGUUUUGAAACUUUCUACAGGGAUUGGCGUGGUGGAGGAGGUGAGUUGCGGCACCUUCGAGAGGAGGGUUCCUCAAUCAGGUCCUCAAAGUAUUAGGCGUACGAGUCCUCAAUGAUGGACAUGCAUGGUAGAACAGAUUCUCUUCAUAUAUUUCUGUCGACGGGAAGCCAUGGAGGAUAAAUGGUAGCAGGGAGAGAGACACAGAG
This 340-nucleotide long non-coding RNA is filed under the name Spirodela polyrhiza (greater duckweed). RNAcentral's name for it is "long non-coding RNA (SPOL_LNC002588)". The record is from RNAcentral. Lineage: Eukaryota; Viridiplantae; Streptophyta; Magnoliopsida; Alismatales; Araceae.